Molecule: long non-coding RNA, 818 nt
Organism: Micropterus salmoides (largemouth bass)
Lineage: Eukaryota; Metazoa; Chordata; Actinopteri; Centrarchiformes; Centrarchidae
Exons: 2
Source: RefSeq, a predicted model, not a curated record
GGGGCCACCACUUCUGCUUCAUGAUGUCCAGGUCGCCUUUCUCCUGCAGCUCCAAGAUCCUGAAGAUUGAGAAGAGAUGAACAGAGGCAGGGCUGACUGCACAGAGGAGACUGCGAGGAGAUAUUCACUGAAUCUGACAAAAAGACCUGUUUUGGAUUAGAAUACAGACCCCUGUUUUAAUGUGGCCAUGUUGAAAUUGUUGAACAAAGUAGAUUUAAACCCCCUCAAAAAACCCUGAUUUCUUCAUGACAACAGAAUUUUGAGGUGGUGACCACAUGCUUGUAACAGUACAUUUAAAAUAAUAUACAGAUCAUUAGAAUUGUUCAUAUUUAGCAGCAGUCUGCGUGUGGUUUGAGUGAAAGAUGCAGUUUCGUGACGUCAACAUGAAGGCUGUACUCGUGUCACACUCUAAUUAUUCUUGAACCUGCAGACAAUCCCACAAUAGGCCUGCACAAUGAAGCAAUUUAGCAUCAAUACUGCUGCAAUUUUGUUAUUGAAAUUAGUCAAUAUGGGCGAUUACAUGACGUGUUAAAUGGUACUAAUCAACGUUACGGAGCAGGGGAGGUGUUCAAUGCUGCAGUCACUCACAUUUUGAGUAUUUUCAGUAAAAUUGAAUUAGGCAUAAUAGAGAUUUUACUUGUCAACUUCUUUUGUGUUUUAUUUCACCAAGGUGAUAAUUUGUUGCUUUAAUGUUUCAGAAUGACAGCUGGAUUGAUUUGUUGUUUUAUUUGCUGUCCAUCUGAGGUAAUAUCAGUCAUCUUGGCGCUUUCAUAAGUGAGGUGUUCACCCAUCAUGAUUAAAUGGUCGAUUAACAUAAA